Molecule: ribosomal RNA, 442 nt
Filed under: uncultured bacterium
Lineage: Bacteria
Description: bacterial SSU rRNA
Rfam family: Bacterial small subunit ribosomal RNA
Source: RNAcentral
AGAGUUUGAUCCUGGCUCAGAAUCAACGCUGGCGGCGUGCCUAACACAUGCAAGUCGCACGAGAAAGGGUCUUCGGAUCUGAGUAAAGUGGCGCACGGGUGAGUAACACGUGAAUCAUCUACCUUCGAGUGGGGAAUAACUGAGAGAAAUCUUAGCUAAUACCGCAUAAUACCUACGGGUCAAAGCAGCAAUGCGCUUGAAGAGGAGUUCGCGGCAGAUUAGUUAGUUGGCGGGGUAAUGGCCCACCAAGACGAUGAUCUGUAUCCGGCCUGAGAGGGCGCACGGACACACUGGAACUGAAACACGGUCCAGACUCCUACGGGAGGCAGCAGUGGGGAAUUUUGCGCAAUGGGGGAAACCCUGACGCAGCAACGCCGCGUGGAGGAUGAAAUAUCUUGGUAUGUAAACUCCUUUCGAUGGGGAAGAUUAUGACGGUACCCAU